RNAcentral lists this non-coding RNA (27 nucleotides) under Bombyx mori (domestic silkworm). Lineage: Eukaryota; Metazoa; Arthropoda; Insecta; Lepidoptera; Bombycidae. The record is from RNAcentral.
UACAAUGUAUGAACGCGGUGCAGAUGC